This 119-nucleotide ribosomal RNA is filed under the name Pteropus alecto (black flying fox). The record is from RNAcentral. Lineage: Eukaryota; Metazoa; Chordata; Mammalia; Chiroptera; Pteropodidae.
GUCUACGGCCACGCCACCCUGAACACGUCCAAUCCCGUCUGAUCUCGGAAGCUAAGCAGGGUCGGGCCUGGUUAGUACUUGGAUGGGAGACCACCUAGGAAGACCAGGUGCCGUAGGUG